This 92-nucleotide transfer RNA is filed under the name Methylacidiphilales bacterium. RNAcentral's name for it is "Candidatus Methylacidiphilales bacterium tRNA-Ser". It matches the Rfam family "tRNA". Rfam says of the family: Transfer RNA (tRNA) molecules are approximately 80 nucleotides in length. Lineage: Bacteria; Pseudomonadati; Verrucomicrobiota; Methylacidiphilae; Methylacidiphilales. The record is from RNAcentral.
GGAGAGAUGGCCGAGUGGUCGAAGGCGCUCCCCUGCUAAGGGAGUAUGUGGCUAAAACCACAUCGAGGGUUCGAAUCCCUCUCUCUCCGCCA